Molecule: ribosomal RNA, 397 nt
Filed under: uncultured bacterium
Lineage: Bacteria
Description: partial 16S ribosomal RNA
Rfam family: Bacterial small subunit ribosomal RNA
Source: RNAcentral
AUACGUAGGGGGCAAGCGUUAUCCGGAAUGAUUGGGCGUAAAGGGCGCGUAGGCGGCCUGUUAAGUCUGGAGUGAAAGUCCUGUUUUCAAGAUGGGAAUUGCUUUGGAUACUGAUGGGCUUGAGUGCAGGAGAGGUUAUCGGAAUUCCCGGUGUAGCGGUGAAAUGCGUAGAGAUCGUGAGGAACACCAGUGGCGAAGGCGGGUCACUGGGCUACAGCUGGCGCUGAGGCGCGAACGGUUGGGGAGCAAUCAGGAGUAGAUACCCUGAUCGUCCACGCUGUAAACGGGGAUUGCUAGGUGUAAGAGGGAUCGACCCCUUUUGUGCCGGAGUUAACACAAUAAGCAUUCCGCCUCGGGAGUACGGCCGCAAGGUUGAAACUCAAAGUAGUUGAGGGGG